UACGUAGGGGGCAAGCGUUGUCCGGAUUUAUUGGGCGUAAAGAGCGUGUAGGCGGCCAAGCAGGUCCGCUGUGAAAACUCGAGGCUCAACCUCGAGACGUCGGUGGAAACCGUUUGGCUAGAGUCCGGAAGAGGAGAGUGGAAUUCCCGGUGUAGCGGUGAAAUGCGCAGAUAUCGGGAAGAACACCCGUGGCGAAGGCGGUUCUCUGGGACGGUACUGACGCUGAGACGCGAAAGCGUGGGGAGCGAACAGG
This 253-nucleotide ribosomal RNA is filed under the name uncultured bacterium. Its description in RNAcentral is "partial 16S ribosomal RNA". It matches the Rfam family "Bacterial small subunit ribosomal RNA", at positions 524 to 776 of the family's 1533-position model. The record is from RNAcentral.